Molecule: ribosomal RNA, 819 nt
Filed under: uncultured Thanatephorus
Lineage: Eukaryota; Fungi; Basidiomycota; Agaricomycetes; Cantharellales; Ceratobasidiaceae
Description: eukaryotic LSU rRNA
Rfam family: Eukaryotic large subunit ribosomal RNA (bases 279-819)
Source: RNAcentral
CUUGCGCUCCUUGGUAUUCCUUGGAGCAUGCCUGUUUGAGUAUCAUGAAAUCUUCAAAGUAAAUCUUUUGUUAACUCGAUUGGUUCUACUUUGGUAUUGGAGGUCUUUGCAGCUUCACACCUGCUCCUCUUCGUUCAUUAGCUGGAUCUCAGUGUUAUGCUUGGUUCCACUCAGCGUGAUAAGUUAUCUAUCGCUGAGGACACUGUAACAGGUGGCCAAGGGAAAUGCAGAUGAACCGCUUCUAAUAGUCCAUUGACUUGGACACUAUUUUUAUGAUCUGAUCUCAAAUCAGGUAGGACUACCCGCUGAACUUAAGCAUAUCAAUAAGCGGAGGAAAAGAAACUAACAAGGAUUCCCCUAGUAACGGCGAGUGAAGCGGGAAGAGCUCAAAUUUAAAAUCUGGCAGUGUAUUCUGUCCGAGUUGUAGUCUAGAGAAGCAUCAUCCGUGCUGGACCAUGUACAAGUCUCUUGGAACAGAGCGUCAUAGAGGGUGAGAAUCCCGUCCUUGACAUGGACUCCCAGUACUUUGUGUUGUGCUCUCAACGAGUCGAGUUGUUUGGGAAUGCAGCUCAAAAUGGGUGGUAAAUUCCAUCUAAAGCUAAAUAUUGGCGAGAGACCGAUAGCGAACAAGUACCGUGAGGGAAAGAUGAAAAGCACUUUGGAGAGAGAGUUAAACAGUACGUGAAAUUGUUGAAAUGGAAACGCUUGAAGUCAGUCGCGUUCUCUGGGAUUCAGCCUUGCUUUUGCUUGGUGCAUUUCCUAGUCUACGUGCCAGCAUGAAUUUUGACCAAUGGAAAAAGGCUUGGGGAAUGUGGCACC